UACGUAGGGGGCAAGCGUUAUCCGGAUUUACUGGGUGUAAAGGGAGCGUAGACGGCAAUGCAAGUCUGGAGUGAAAGGCGGGGGCCCAACCCCCGGACUGCUCUGGAAACUGUAUAGCUGGAGUGCAGGAGAGGUAAGUGGUAUUCCUAGUGUAGCGGUGAAAUGCGUAGAUAUUAGGAGGAACACCAGUGGCGAAGGCGGCUUACUGGACUGUAACUGACGUUGAGGCUCGAAAGCGUGGGGAGCAAACAGG
RNAcentral lists this ribosomal RNA (253 nucleotides) under uncultured bacterium. Its description in RNAcentral is "partial 16S ribosomal RNA". It matches the Rfam family "Bacterial small subunit ribosomal RNA", at positions 524 to 776 of the family's 1533-position model. The record is from RNAcentral.